GCAGUAGCCGCGGUAAUGCAGAGGAUGCAAGCAUUAUCCGGAAUGAUUGGGCGUAAAGCGUGCGCAGGCGGUUGUGUAAGACAGGUGUGAAAUCCCCGGGCUUAACCUGGGAACUGCGCUUGUGACUGCACAGCUAGAGUAUGGCAGAGGGGGGUGGAAUUCCACGUGUAGCAGUGAAAUGCGUAGAGAUGCGGAGGAACACCGAUGGCGAAGGCAAUCCCCUGGGCCUGCACUGACGCUCAUGCACGAAAGCGUGGGGAGCAAACAGGAUUAGAUACCCGAGUAGUCCCUGUCUCUUAUAC
This 302-nucleotide ribosomal RNA is filed under the name uncultured bacterium. Its description in RNAcentral is "partial 16S ribosomal RNA". It matches the Rfam family "Bacterial small subunit ribosomal RNA", at positions 508 to 807 of the family's 1533-position model. The record is from RNAcentral.